This 434-nucleotide ribosomal RNA is filed under the name uncultured bacterium. RNAcentral's name for it is "bacterial SSU rRNA". It matches the Rfam family "Bacterial small subunit ribosomal RNA", at positions 958 to 1391 of the family's 1533-position model. The record is from RNAcentral.
AACGCGAAGAACCUUACCUGCCCUUGACAUCCUCGGAACUUGUCAGAGAUGACUUGGUGCCUUCGGAAACCGAGUGACAGGUGCUGCAUGGCUGUCGUCAGCUCGUGUCGUGAGAUGUUGGGUUAAGUCCCGCAACGAGCGCAACCCUUGUCCCUAGUUGCCAGCGGUUCGGCCGGGAACUCUAGGGAGACUGCCAGCGACAAGCUGGAGGAAGGCGGGGACGACGUCAAGUCAUCAUGGCCCUUAUGGGCAGGGCUACACACGUGCUACAAUGGCCGGUACAGAGGGUUGCCAACCCGCAAGGGGGAGCCAAUCCCAGAAAGCCGGUCGUAGUCCGGAUCGGAGUCUGCAACUCGACUCCGUGAAGUCGGAAUCGCUAGUAAUCGCGAAUCAGCAUUGUCGCGGUGAAUACGUUCCCGGGUCUUGUACACACG